Long non-coding RNA from Mercenaria mercenaria, 1888 nucleotides. RefSeq lists it as uncharacterized. The record is from RefSeq and is a predicted model, not a curated record. NCBI's taxonomy places the organism in Eukaryota, Metazoa, Mollusca, Bivalvia, Venerida, Veneridae. The transcript has 2 exons.
UAUAGGUUACAUUCUACCAAUUCAAUUCCUUAUUUAUUUCAUAUUAAUAACAAAACAUUCAGACCUCAUUUUCAGCACUUUAGAGCAUUUCAAUGAUAUGAAAACCAUAUAUGGUCAUUUAGUAUAACAUGUCUUCUUAUCAAAAAUAGAAAAAAAUUGACAUGUUAUGUUGAAUAUAAGAAAAACAAGUGAAUGAAGUAUUGCCAUGCAAUACAAAGUCCCCUACUGGAAGGCACCUAAUUUUCUCUACUGCAGUAUAACAUAAUGAACUGAUAUCUGUCAAUGAUGUAUAAACAAUAUUGUACUAUAUAUACAAUAUGUUAUAACAAAACACUUGGAUUAAAAUUUAUAUAUAUAAAAACCUACAGUUGUUUUCAUAUUGAAUUUUUUUGGCUGAUUAUAAAAAUGUUAUCAUGUAAGUUAUUUAUAGUAACAACAAAGGGAAAUUAAUCUUUUAAAAAAAAAAAAAAAAAAAAAAAAAAAAAAAAAAUCUAUAUAAUACAAGUCCACAAGAAACUCUUUACCAGGUAGAGAUAGGUCAAAAUACACCUAAAAAUUGGAUGUAACAUGCAUGGUGUACCACAGAAAAGUGGUCUCGAUUUUUCUCUACUGCCAGUAAUAAAAAAGUUACAAUAAAAUCUAUUUAUAGUAACAACAAAGGGACGUAAUUCUAAAAACAAGGGUGCCUCAUGGUGGUGAACAUUUGGUCCAAGUUACAUCAAAAUCCCUCCAUGCAUGAAGAAGAAAUGUCCCAUACAAAGUCAUUCUUGAAUUUGACCUUUGACCUCUAAAUAUGACCUUGACCUUAGACCUAGGGACCUGGCCCCGUGUUCACAAAACAUUUUUCGAUCUCAGCUGAGUUUGAGUUUGAUAUUUUAAUAUCAGUUUUAUUAAAACUUCAAGGUUAAAUUCAAUCUGAGACAGACCAGCAAUAUUGAAGUGCCACUUGAAAAUAAUGUUGAGCAUAAAAUUAGGUUUUAAACAUACUCUUUUGAUAUAAAUGACGAUUUAAGUUUCAUUAUCAAACUCAGCUGAGACUGAAAACGUUUUGUGAACACGGGGCCAGUACUGGGCAGAUAUAGUGACAUACGUUUAAGAUAUCAUGCUUUCUGUUUAUGCAGGUAAACUUGUGUUUGGUUAAAUUUCAACAGAGCACAAUUGUCUGAACAGUGUACAGACUCAUUACUGUUUUUCAGGCAAGGGUGGAAAAAAAGUGGUAGACAAUGAAAGCAGUAACAUUUUUUAUUAAAAAAAAAAAAUAAUGAGAAACUCUUCCAACAUCUUUGGACGGUUCAAAAAUCCCAUGUUAAACAUACGGUAAAGCCCGAAACGCGUGAAAAUGUUCCGAAUGUAAAUCGGGUGAAGUAGGCGCUCUAUGUAUAGAGUUAGAUUAUGCGUCUAGAUACUGUACUAGAGGGGUCGGUCUACUGUGGGUUAUUGAUUACACUGGGCGAGUCUACUUACUUAUUACUUGAGGAUGAAAAAACCGUGUUUUUUAAAUGUUGCUCUUAAACAAGGGUGGCGGUUGAACUACAAAAAGUACAACAACAGUUAAUUCACAACAUAUCGUACGGUAUGUUUUAUAAUCAGUAGAAGCUAGUCGUAUUUACGCUUAUGAGACCUGUUUCACCCAUAGGUAUAGAAUUCACAGGUCUAUCAUGAAAUAUUUUCCCCAGCGCGCAUAUACUUCACCUAUUCCAUAUGAUCGCGGCCUCCAGCAAUAAGUGUUUCUUCUUGUUACAAAAUGCGACUCGGCCCGUUUUCUUUUAUCCUGCACACUUUUAACUUCCUAUACAUGUCUACUAUUGUAUACAAUGAUAAUGCGUAUAUUAAGACUGUAUUUAUUUAAGAGAGAAAAUAAAUAAAAACGUAUUCAGUUUUGUAAAAA